This 440-nucleotide ribosomal RNA is filed under the name uncultured bacterium. Its description in RNAcentral is "partial 16S ribosomal RNA". It matches the Rfam family "Bacterial small subunit ribosomal RNA", at positions 338 to 795 of the family's 1533-position model. The record is from RNAcentral.
CCUACGGGAGGCAGCAGUGGGGGAUAUUGCUCAAUGGGGGAAACCCUGAUGCAGCAACGCCGCGUGAGGGAAGAAGGUUUUCGGAUUGUAAACCCCUGUUUUUGGGGAAGAUAAUGACGGUAACCAAGGAGAAAGCAGCGGCUAACUACGUGACAGCAGCCGCGGUACUACGGAGGGAGCAAGCGUUAUCCGGAGUUACUGGGUGUAAAGGGUGCGUAGGGGGUAUAGGAAGUCAGACGUGAAAACCACAGGCUUAACCCUUGGACUGCGUUUGAAACUGUUGGUCUGGAGUGGAGGAGAGGUAUGCGGAAUGCUUGGUGUAGCGGUGAAAUGCGUAGAGAUCACGAGGAACACCGAUUGCGAAGGCGGCCUACUGGAGCUUAACUGACGCUGAUGCACGAAAGCGUGGGUAGCAAACAGGAUUAGAUACCCGGGUAGUC